CGAUAGCAUUUUUCCAUCUCUAACUGGAUUUUCAUCCCUCAAGUCUUUGGAUCUGUCAAACAAUCAGCUGACAGGAUCUGCUAGUAUCAUUAGUAAGUUAUAUAUAAUUUCUACCUAACUGCUUUACGUGACGUUCUUUUAUAUUUAUUUAAUAAUCAACGAUAGCAUUUCAUCAUGUUUGAUUGCGGUAGCUUUCAUCUUAUCCAUAAAUUGUUUUUCUAUUAAGACAGGAAGAGAUUAAAGUCAUGAGCUAGCUAGAUCAAAACUAGAUGAUUAAAAAUUACAAGUAUAGCAAUGGAUACUUGCAAUCGAUCUAUCUUCUUCCUUAAUCUAUGCACUGUAUAUUUUUUUAUGUAUAUCUUGUGUAGGUUUUCAACUCCAACCGAUGAGGCUGGGAAAGUUAGAGAACCUUGACCUGAGUGGCAAUCGAUUGAACAACAGCAUCUUAUCAAUUCUGAGUGGGCUUUCCACUCUCAAGUCUUUGGAUCUAUCAUUUAAUGAGUUUACAGCUG
Molecule: long non-coding RNA, 512 nt
Filed under: Populus tremula
Lineage: Eukaryota; Viridiplantae; Streptophyta; Magnoliopsida; Malpighiales; Salicaceae
Description: long non-coding RNA (PTRE_LNC002052)
Source: RNAcentral